Molecule: ribosomal RNA, 508 nt
Filed under: uncultured bacterium
Lineage: Bacteria
Description: partial 16S ribosomal RNA
Rfam family: Bacterial small subunit ribosomal RNA
Source: RNAcentral
AUUGAACGCUGGCGGCAUGCCUUACACAUGCAAGUCGAACGGCAGCGGGGGAGAAGCUUGCUUUUCCUGCCGGCGAGUGGCGAACGGGUGAGUAAUAGAUCGGAACGUGCCCUGUAGUGGGGGAUAACUAGUCGAAAGAUUAACUAAUACCGCAUACGACAUGACGGUGAAAGUGGGGGACCGCAAGGCCGCAUGCUAUAGUAGCGGCCGAUGUUGGAUUAGCUAGUUGGUGGGGUAAAGGCCUACCAAGGCGACGAUCAGUAGCUGGUCUGAGAGGACGAUCAGCCACACUGGGACUGAGACACGGCCCAGACUCCUACGGGAGGCAGCAGUGGGGAAUUUUGGACAAUGGGCGAAAGCCUGAUCCAGCAAUGCCGCGUGUGUGAAGAAGGCCUUCGGGUUGUAAAGCACUUUUGUCCGGAAAGAAAUGGCUCUGGUUAAUACCUGGGGUCGAUGACGGUACCGGAAGAAUAAGGACCGGCUAACUACGUGCCAGCCGCCGCAGUAA